Molecule: long non-coding RNA, 1193 nt
Filed under: Monodelphis domestica (gray short-tailed opossum)
Lineage: Eukaryota; Metazoa; Chordata; Mammalia; Didelphimorphia; Didelphidae
Description: lncRNA (ENSMODG00000045716.1)
Source: RNAcentral
CCGAAAAUGUGUGUGACUCACUUUGUCACAGUGGCUGUGUGCUCGAAAAGUAAGCUAUCACCAUAUUGCUACUAUAACAUCCAAGAUUUACACAGAUGACAUAGACUAAAGACAUGCUUCAUUUAAUAAAAAUAUGAAAAUAAAGAACAUAUAAUCUAGUUGGCCUUUAGAUAGAGGACUAUCCAAUCCAUCUAGGUAGAGAGGCUUUCUGGUCUCUUGAUAAAUACCUCAAUGAAAAAAAAUACUGUGGGUUUUAAAAUGCUGUGGUUAAGAGAACUGCAUCUCCCAGCAUGUCACAAGGGUUCUGCCUUCCUACUUCCUGAUAUGGGAUUGAUCUUGAAUGGACCAAUCACAUACUGGGGGAGGGAUGAUGCCCCCUACUUCCUGGCGUGGGAUUGGUCUUGAAUUGGACCAAUCCCGUGAUAGGAAAGGACCAUACCCUCCUACUUCCUGGAACUGGAUUGGUCUAUAUAAAAACCAAUCCAGGAGUUAGGAGGGGACUUUGAAUUAGAUUCAAAGACGGAAAGAGGCUAGUCAGUUAAAGGCUGCUGGAGCUCUGGUUUUCUUUCAAUUAAAGCUUUACAGUUUAAAAAAGAAAUAACUUUUUAUUUUAACCAUUUCCAUUGUAAUAUUUAAAGGAAUUAUAGGGAUUGAAGGGGGCUGGGGAAGAGCUAGAGGGGGUAAGGAAGGUUUUAUGACAGGGAAAUGAGGAGUUGAAGGGAGAGAGGGAAUAUGGCUGCUGGUCAGGUAAAAGGAGAUACCCCUGCUGAGAGGCUAUCUUUGAAACUUGGGGUUCCUGAGAAAUGGGUCACCUAUGAUAGCCUGAGGGGAUGUCUUCUCUAUGGAUUGAUGUUAAAGAUACCCCAGAGCAGGCACAUGAUCUCUUUCCUGAACUCUGCAUCUAUUUCUUCCUUCUGUCCAGAUGAGUUAGGAAGAACCCAAGGGAUUUGGGGUCAUCUCUUCUGAGAAAACUUUGAAGGAGGAGACAACAGAAUUUAUGUGAUUGUUGAGAUGAGGAAAAGGGGAGAAGGAACUCAGUUCAUGUGCUCGAUUUUUUCAAUUAAAUAUGAGGCAAAGUUAUCAGUCCUGAGAAGAUGGGAGAAGAGGGAACCAUGAGGGGAUUGAGGAGGGAUGAAUAGAUUUGUAAAAAGCAUAUGUAAUAAAUGGCAUAUUGAAUGGGUUAGAGAGAGACA